This is a non-coding RNA of Pelobates cultripes (western spadefoot toad), 599 nucleotides long. NCBI's taxonomy places the organism in Eukaryota, Metazoa, Chordata, Amphibia, Anura, Pelobatidae. The record is from the annotation of a GenBank genome assembly.
CUGUAUACUCCAAUACACCAUGGAUGGGUACAAGCACAGUGUACCCCAAUACACCAUGUAUGGGUACAUGCACUGUAUACCCCAAUACACCAUGGAUGGGUACAUGCACUGUAUACUCCAAUACACCAUGGAUGGGUACAAGCACAGUGUACCCCAAUACACCAUGGAUGGGUACAUGCACAGUAUACCCCAAUACACCAUGGAUGGGUACAUGCACUGUAUACUCCAAUACACCAUGUAUGGGUACAUGCACUGUAUACCCCAAUACACCAUGGAUGGGUACAUGCACUGUAUACUCCAAUACACCAUGGAUGGGUACAAGCACAGUGUACCCCAAUACACCAUGGAUGGGUACAUGCACAGUGUACCCCAAUACACCAUGGAUGGGUACAUGCACAGUGUACCCCAAUACACCAUGGAUGGGUACAUACACAGUAUACCCCAAUACACCAUGGAUGUGUACAUUCACUGUAUACCCCAAUACACCAUGGAUGGGUACAUGCACUGUAUACUCCAAUACACCAUGGAUGGGUACAAGCACAGUGUACCCCAAUACACCAUGGAUGGUUACAUGCACAGUAUACCCCAAUACACCAUGG